Molecule: ribosomal RNA, 301 nt
Filed under: uncultured bacterium
Lineage: Bacteria
Description: bacterial SSU rRNA
Rfam family: Bacterial small subunit ribosomal RNA
Source: RNAcentral
UAGGCCUACGGGGCGCAGCAGUAGGGAAUCUUCCACAAUGGGCGAAAGCCUGAUGGAGCAACGCCGCGUGGGUGAAGAAGGUCUUCGGAUCGUAAAACCCUGUUGUUAGAGAAGAAAGUGCGUGAGAGUAACUGUUCACGUUUCGACGGUAUCUAACCAGAAAGCCACGGCUAACUACGUGCCAGCAGCCGCGGUAAUACGUAGGUGGCAAGCGUUAUCCGGAUUUAUUGUGCGUAAAGGGAACGCAGCCGGGCUUUUAAGUCUGAUGUGAAAGCCUUCGGCUUAAACGGAGUAGUGCAUU